GAGUUAGCGAUUAUUAUAAAAGUAAUUCUUCGUUCUGAUUUACUUAAUUUGGACAUGACAAACCUCUUAUUACAACUAUAAAAUCUGAGCUUC
This 93-nucleotide small nucleolar RNA is filed under the name Theobroma cacao (cacao). Its description in RNAcentral is "Small nucleolar RNA snoR8a". It matches the Rfam family "Small nucleolar RNA snoR8a". The record is from Rfam by way of RNAcentral. Lineage: Eukaryota; Viridiplantae; Streptophyta; Magnoliopsida; Malvales; Malvaceae.